GAUGAACGCUGGCGGCGUGCCUAAUACAUGCAAGUCGAGCGAACGGACGAGAAGCUUGCUUCUCUGAUGUUAGCGGCGGACGGGUGAGUAACACGUGGAUAACCUACCUAUAAGACUGGGAUAACUUCGGGAAACCGGAGCUAAUACCGGAUAAUAUUUUGAACCGCAUGGUUCAAAAGUGAAAGACGGUCUUGCUGUCACCUAUAGAUGGAUCCGCGCUGCAUUAGCUAGUUGGUAAGGUAACGGCUUACCAAGGCAACGAUGCAUAGCCGACCUGAGAGGGUGAUCGGCCACACUGGAACUGAGACACGGUCCAGACUCCUACGGGAGGCAGCAGUAGGGAAUCUUCCGCAAUGGGCGAAAGCCUGACGGAGCAACGCCGCGUGAGUGAUGAAGGUCUUCGGAUCGUAAAACUCUGUUAUUAGGGAAGAACAUAUGUGUAAGUAACUGUGCACAUCUUGACGGUACCUAAUCAGAAAGCCACGGCUAACUACGUGCCAGCAGCCGCGGUAAUACGUAGGUGGCAAGCGUUAUCCGGAAUUAUUGGGCGUAAAGCGCGCGUAGGCGGUUUUUUAAGUCUGAUGUGAAAGCCCACGGCUCAACCGUGGAGGGUCAUUGGAAACUGGAAAACUUGAGUGCAGAAGAGGAAAGUGGAAUUCCAUGUGUAGCGGUGAAAUGCGCAGAGAUAUGGAGGAACACCAGUGGCGAAGGCGACUUUCUGGUCUGUAACUGACGCUGAUGUGCGAAAGCGUGGGGAUCAAACAGGAUUAGAUACCCUGGUAGUCCACGCCGUAAACGAUGAGUGCUAAGUGUUAGGGGGUUUCCGCCCCUUAGUGCUGCAGCUAACGCAUUAAGCACUCCGCCUGGGGAGUACAACCGCAAGGUUGAAACUCAAAGGAAUUGACGGGGACCCGCACAAGCGGUGGAGCAUGUGGUUUAAUUCGAAGCAACGCGAAGAACCUUACCAAAUCUUGACAUCCUUUGACAACUCUAGAGAUAGAGCCUUCCCCUUCGGGGGACAAAGUGACAGGUGGUGCAUGGUUGUCGUCAGCUCGUGUCGUGAGAUGUUGGGUUAAGUCCCGCAACGAGCGCAACCCUUAAGCUUAGUUGCCAUCAUUAAGUUGGGCACUCUAAGUUGACUGCCGGUGACAAACCGGAGGAAGGUGGGGAUGACGUCAAAUCAUCAUGCCCCUUAUGAUUUGGGCUACACACGUGCUACAAUGGACAAUACAAAGGGCAGCGAAACCGUGAGGUCAAGCAAAUCCCAUAAAGUUGUUCUCAGUUCGGAUUGUAGUCUGCAACUCGACUACAUGAAGCUGGAAUCGCUAGUAAUCGUAGAUCAGCAUGCUACGGUGAAUACGUUCCCGGGUCU
This 1372-nucleotide ribosomal RNA is filed under the name uncultured bacterium. Its description in RNAcentral is "bacterial SSU rRNA". It matches the Rfam family "Bacterial small subunit ribosomal RNA", at positions 28 to 1381 of the family's 1533-position model. The record is from RNAcentral.